AUUUUAGGUCUGUGUAAACGUGCUAAUACAUCUGACUGGAAUAUAAUAAAGUGGUUAUUUCUAUGUCUGACUGAAAGUUAUAAAGUCCUUAGAACCAGAAGCUGAAUGCAGGAAACCCAUGGUUGUCAUGGUAGCCAUGAAAUCUUUAGAUGCUUCCGAUUGACCCUUCUCACCUCUUAAUUUGGCAAAUAAUAUCUUCCCAAGAAGAUUGGUCUUACAGAGCAGUAAAAAGAGCUUUUAAAUAAAAGUUUAAUGAAACCCAGUUUCGGCAACAAUGCUGUAUUAGUUCGUUCUCACACUGCUAUGAAGAAAUACUCAAGACUGCGUAAUUUAUAAAGAAAAGUUUA
RNAcentral lists this long non-coding RNA (347 nucleotides) under Homo sapiens (human). RNAcentral's name for it is "HSALNT0315817". Lineage: Eukaryota; Metazoa; Chordata; Mammalia; Primates; Hominidae. The record is from RNAcentral.